GGGGAUUUAGCUCAGUGGUAGAGUGCUUGCCUAGCAAGCGCAAGGCCCUGGGUUCGGUCCCCAGCCCCG
Molecule: non-coding RNA, 69 nt
Organism: Rattus norvegicus (Norway rat)
Lineage: Eukaryota; Metazoa; Chordata; Mammalia; Rodentia; Muridae
Source: Rfam